GGCUGCUCCGAAGGUAGUGAGUUCUUGAUUGUUUACAGUCAGUUACUGAUGGAACUCCUUGUUCUACUUUUCCCCCCUUCUCACUACUGCACUUGACUAGUCUCUU
This is an unclassified non-coding RNA of Gorilla gorilla gorilla (western lowland gorilla), 106 nucleotides long. It matches the Rfam family "Y RNA". From Rfam's summary of the family: Y RNAs are components of the Ro ribonucleoprotein particle (Ro RNP), in association with Ro60 and La proteins. The Y RNAs and Ro60 and La proteins are well conserved, but the function of the Ro RNP is not known. NCBI's taxonomy places the organism in Eukaryota, Metazoa, Chordata, Mammalia, Primates, Hominidae. The record is from Ensembl.